This 109-nucleotide ribosomal RNA is filed under the name bacterium HR23. The record is from RNAcentral.
GUGACAGGAGCGGGGUGGACCCACCCGUUCCCAUCCCGAACACGGUCGUGAAACGCCCCAGCGCCGACGAUACUGGCCUCGCAAGGGGCUGGGAAAAUAGGCCGUUGCC